This 139-nucleotide non-coding RNA is filed under the name Streptomyces auratus AGR0001. The record is from Rfam by way of RNAcentral. Lineage: Bacteria; Bacillati; Actinomycetota; Actinomycetes; Kitasatosporales; Streptomycetaceae.
GGGCAGAUGAAGUGGACGUGGGUGUCGAUGGCGCCGGCCGUCAGGAUCUUGCCGUUGCCGGCGAUGAUCUCGGUCUCGGGUCCGAUGACCAGGUCGGGGUGGACGCCGUCCAUGGUGUCGGGGUUGCCGGCCUUGCCCA